CCUACGGGAGGCAGCAGUCGAGAAUCAUUCACAAUGGGGGAAACCCUGAUGGUGCGACGCCGCGUGGGGGAAUGAAGGUCUUCGGAUUGUAAACCCCUGUCAUGUGGGAGCAAAUUAAAAAGAUAGUACCCCAAGAGGAAGAGACGGCUAACUCUGUGCCAGCAGCCGCGGUAAUACAGAGGUCUCAAGCGUUGUUCGGAAGCACUGGGCGUAAAGCGUGCGUAGGCUGUUUCGUAAGUCGUGUGUGAAAGGCGCGGGCUCAACCCGCGGACGGCACAUGAUACUGCGAGACUAGAGUAAUGGAGGGGGAACCGGAAUUCUCGGUGUAGCAGUGAAAUGCGUAGAGAUCGAGAGGAACACUCGUGGCGAAGGCGGGUUCCUGGACAUUAACUGACGCUGAGGCACGAAGGCCAGGGGAGCGAAAGGGAUUAGAUACCCUGGUAGUC
RNAcentral lists this ribosomal RNA (446 nucleotides) under uncultured bacterium. Its description in RNAcentral is "partial 16S ribosomal RNA". It matches the Rfam family "Bacterial small subunit ribosomal RNA", at positions 338 to 795 of the family's 1533-position model. The record is from RNAcentral.